Molecule: unclassified non-coding RNA, 368 nt
Filed under: uncultured fungus
Lineage: Eukaryota; Fungi
Description: partial contains small subunit ribosomal RNA, internal transcribed spacer 1, and 5.8S ribosomal RNA
Rfam family: Eukaryotic small subunit ribosomal RNA (bases 1-73)
Source: RNAcentral
GCAAACUUGGUCAUUUAGAGGAAGUAAAAGUCGUAACAAGGUUUCCGUAGGUGAACCUGCGGAAGGAUCAUUACAGUGCCGCGGGGUGCGCCGGUUUCCCGGCCUCCGCCCCGCACACGGCCACCCGUGUCUACCGUACCUUUUGUUGCCUCGGCGGGCCCGUCGUGCCUGACCAUCCAACCCUCUCGGGGGCGAUGGGGGGAAGGACGACCGCCCGGUGGCGCCUGCCGCCGGGCCCGCGCCCGCCAGAGGACCACUCGAACCCUUUUUGAAAUCUAGUGGCAUCUGACCGAGUUUUGAUCACGAAUCAAGCUUACAAAACUUUCAACAACGGAUCUCUUGGUUCCGGCAUCGAUGAAGAACGCAGC